GACGGAAGGUGCAAGCGUUGCUCGGAAUCACUGGGCGUAAAGGGUGCGCAGGCGGCGUCGCAAGUCAGGCGUGAAAUCCCCGGGCUUAACCUGGGAACUGCACUUGAAACUACGAUGCUGGAGUAUGGCAGAGGGAGGUGGAAUUCCACGUGUAGCGGUGAAAUGCGUAGAGAUGUGGAGGAACACCGAUGGCGAAGGCAGCCUCCUGGGCCAAUACUGACGCUCAUGCACGAAAGCGUGGGGAGCAAACAGG
RNAcentral lists this ribosomal RNA (253 nucleotides) under uncultured bacterium. RNAcentral describes it as "partial 16S ribosomal RNA". It matches the Rfam family "Bacterial small subunit ribosomal RNA", at positions 524 to 776 of the family's 1533-position model. The record is from RNAcentral.